CCAGUAUAACUCCCAAAUGAUCACAUUUUAUGCCCAUUUAAUCUCAGUCGUUGGAUCUCAUCAAUCCAACGGCCUAGAACUGGUUAGUCCAUCACAUAUAAUCGUCCGAAGAGAGACCAAGCCCCCCAUCAGACCCCCUCUCACUUCGUCUCCCUCGUCUCAAACAUCGAAACCCUAGCUGCCCUUCAUUCCUUCACUAGCUCCAACGCAAACCACCUACCGAAAAUCGCCUCAUAAUAAGUCUGAUGGCCAAACAGUCCCAAAAGGAUAUCACAAACUCCAUUGCAUCUCCACAUUCCAAAUAUUCACUUCCCUUCCUUCAAAUGAAACCCAUUUUGUUCGAAUCUUAAAUUAGAGAUUCGUCUAAAACUUGAACCGCUCCAAAUUAUUUCAAAUUCACACCCUAUAACGUCUAGCCUUAUCAGAACCCCAAAC
Molecule: long non-coding RNA, 435 nt
Filed under: Nicotiana benthamiana
Lineage: Eukaryota; Viridiplantae; Streptophyta; Magnoliopsida; Solanales; Solanaceae
Description: long non-coding RNA (NBEN_LNC020985)
Source: RNAcentral